GCUGGUGUAGCUCAGUUGGUAGAGCAGCUGAUUCGUAAUCAGCAGGUCACGUGUUCGACUCACGCCAUCAGCUCCA
This 76-nucleotide transfer RNA is filed under the name Clostridiales bacterium. Its description in RNAcentral is "tRNA-Thr". It matches the Rfam family "tRNA". Rfam says of the family: Transfer RNA (tRNA) molecules are approximately 80 nucleotides in length. The record is from RNAcentral. Lineage: Bacteria; Bacillati; Bacillota; Clostridia; Eubacteriales.